GACGAACGCUGGCGGCGUGCUUAACACAUGCAAGUCGAACGGAAAGGCCCUGCUUUUGUGGGGUGCUCGAGUGGCGAACGGGUGAGUAACACGUGAGUAACCUGCCCUUGACUUUGGGAUAACUUCAGGAAACUGGGGCUAAUACCGGAUAGGAGCUCCUGCUGCAUGGUGGGGGUUGGAAAGUUUCGGCGGUUGGGGAUGGACUCGCGGCUUAUCAGCUUGUUGGUGGGGUAGUUGCUUACCAAGGCUUUGACGGGUAGCCGGCCUGAGAGGGUGACCGGACACAUUGGGACUGAGAUACGGCCCAGAAUGCAACGGGAGGCAGCAGUGGGGAAUAGUGCAGAAUGGGCGGAAGCCUGAUGCAGCAACGCCGCGUGCGGGAUGAAGGCCUUCGGGUUGUAAAACGCUUUAGCCUGUGACGAAGCGUGAGUGACGGUAAUGGGUAAAGAAGCACCGGCUAACUACGUG
Molecule: ribosomal RNA, 468 nt
Filed under: uncultured bacterium
Lineage: Bacteria
Description: partial 16S ribosomal RNA
Rfam family: Bacterial small subunit ribosomal RNA
Source: RNAcentral